GACGAACGCUGGCGGCGUGCUUAACACAUGCAAGUCGAACGGGAUCCGGGCUUUCGGGUUUGGUGAGAGUGGCGAACGGGUGAGUAACACGUGAGUAACCUGCCCCCUUCUUUGGGAUAACGUCGGGAAAUCGGCGCUAAUACUGGAUAUUCUUGCUGCAUCGCAUGGUGUGGUUUGGAAAGGGUUUCUGGUGGGGGAUAGGCUCGCGGCCUAUCAGCUUGUUGGUGGGGUGAUGGCCUACCAAGGCUUUGACGGGUAGCCGGCCUGAGAGGGUGUCCGGCCACACUGGGACUGGGACACGGCCCAGACUCCUACGGGAGGCAGCAGUGGGGAAUAUUGCACAAUGGGCGCAAGCCUGAUGCAGCGACGCCGCGUGAGGGAUGACGGCCUUCGGGUUGUAAACCUCUUUCAGUAUGGAACAAGGAUCCUUCUUUUGGGGGGUUUGAGGGUACGUGCAGAAGAAGCGCCGGCUAACUACGU
This 480-nucleotide ribosomal RNA is filed under the name uncultured bacterium. RNAcentral's name for it is "partial 16S ribosomal RNA". It matches the Rfam family "Bacterial small subunit ribosomal RNA", at positions 28 to 506 of the family's 1533-position model. The record is from RNAcentral.